Molecule: transfer RNA, 76 nt
Filed under: Tissierellia bacterium
Lineage: Bacteria; Bacillati; Bacillota; Tissierellia
Also listed under: 1 other name
Description: tRNA-Thr
Rfam family: tRNA
About the family: Transfer RNA (tRNA) molecules are approximately 80 nucleotides in length. Their secondary structure includes four short double-helical elements and three loops (D, anti-codon, and T loops).
Source: RNAcentral
GCCCACGUAGCUCAGUAGGUAGAGUACAUGCAUGGUAAGCAUGAGGUCACCGGUUCAAUCCCGGUCGUGGGCUCCA